GGAGGGAGUAUAUUUGUAACAUGUAUUAUGAAGCGAUAAACAUAUCAAUUUCAUGUUAAACAUAUAGCUCAUGCUAAUAUUUCAACUAAACACAUGUCAAACACUAAUAAAUGUUUUUUGCAAAAUGAAAAACAAUGAAUAGGGAUGGAAGAUUAUAAAGAGUAAUUGAUGAUAAAGUAUAACACAACUAGAUAUAACAAUACAGACAUUUCUAUAUGGGUAAUGCAUUACAACAUGAAUAAAUAAGGAGGAGCUCUAAAAGCAAGAAAUUUUGAUAGCUACGUAUAUAUGCCAAUUCAUAAAUUUAUAGCAGUUAUGUCUCAUAAAUAAAACUAUCAGCCCGUGCAAGAGCACGGGUUUGAUACACUAGUAUUAUUAAAUCACAGGAAGAUAAUGAAAUAAGAUAUUUCAAAGAUGUAUUUCAGAAAGCCAUGGACCAUCAAGGAGUCAUAUCAGGCCUUAAAAGACAGGGUUACAAACCCUAGCACGUUUGGCAUAUGAAGAUUAUUUGAAGCCCACCAUGAUCAGGUGUGUAAGGCCGACUACACAAGUGAUACGAAUACAAGAUAGUUGGAAGGUUUUCCUAGCAUUCCACCUCGACAUAAUUUAUUUUGUCUUCAAG
Molecule: long non-coding RNA, 622 nt
Filed under: Setaria viridis
Lineage: Eukaryota; Viridiplantae; Streptophyta; Magnoliopsida; Poales; Poaceae
Description: long non-coding RNA (SVIR_LNC009520)
Source: RNAcentral